Long non-coding RNA from Mus musculus (house mouse), 779 nucleotides. RefSeq annotates it as predicted gene, 39516. The transcript is spliced from 2 exons. NCBI's taxonomy places the organism in Eukaryota, Metazoa, Chordata, Mammalia, Rodentia, Muridae. The record is from RefSeq and is a predicted model, not a curated record.
GAAUUCCUGGGGUUGAUCUCCAGCUCUUCCGAAACAAGUUGUGAGAGAGCAUGCAAGUAAUCCCAGCACUUGAGCAGGUGGAAUAAAUGUUCAAGAUCAUCCUCAGGUACACAGUGAAGGAAACCCAGGAUAACCCUAUGCUGAGGAUGGUAGAGGCACGAGAAGAUUCCAAGGUUUUCAUGGCAUCAACAAAAUGCCAAAGCAACCAACUUAAACCUCUGAUCUUCAUGUUGUCUGAGGUAAUAUAAUUCUGAGGAAACAGAUAAGGAUGAAGCAAAAACAUAAUGAAGAGAAAGCUGGAAGGGGGCAGGUGGUGUACUGGGAAAUAGUACAAGGACUCUGGACAUUUGCAAGGAUGUAGCUGCUAAGAUCCAAGUGCCAAGGAAGAACUGAUGACUGCAUAAGGAAAGCCAUCUGUAUCCAAGCCAGUGCAGACACACAAGACAGAGUGGGCUGGAAGAGACCCUGAAUCCUCUCAGCUGUAGCACAUACCCCAUCGCACUAGCAGCUAUGACUAUCUAUCUUUCAAUGAUGCUUAGAGCCAUGCUGCUUACUUUAUUCUUUCCAAAGACAGUGUUCAAUUGGGUCAGGUUGGUGAUGUAAGGUGCAGCGCCACUGCACAGGCAGCAGAGAUCUUGCAACCAGCACCAUUGACUAUGGUGAGGCUUGUCCGAUUCCAGAAUAGGGAAUGGUUACCAAGGCUCCAGAUUUAUGAAUGUUCCCUUUGCUUUGCUAUUAAAUUCCUGAUGCAACUCUAGUUGUUUUCUUUUAAAACCGCA